This 292-nucleotide ribosomal RNA is filed under the name uncultured bacterium. RNAcentral describes it as "partial 16S ribosomal RNA". It matches the Rfam family "Bacterial small subunit ribosomal RNA", at positions 505 to 796 of the family's 1533-position model. The record is from RNAcentral.
GUGUCAGCAGCCGCGGUAAUACAGAGGUCCCGAGCGUUGUUCGGAUUCACUGGGCGUAAAGGGUGCGUAGGUGGUGAGGAAAGUCGGAUGUGAAAUCUCCGGGCUUAACCCGGAAACUGCAUUGGAAACUACCUUGCUAGAGGUUUUGAGGGGGGACUGGAAUUCUCGGUGUAGCAGUGAAAUGCGUAGAUAUCGAGAGGAACACCAGUGGCGAAGGCGAGUCCCUGGAAAACACCUGACACUGAGGCACGAAAGCUAGGGGAGCAAACAGGAUUAGAUACCCCGGUAGUCC